RNAcentral lists this long non-coding RNA (5795 nucleotides) under Triticum aestivum (bread wheat). Its description in RNAcentral is "long non-coding RNA (TAES_LNC014186)". The record is from RNAcentral. Lineage: Eukaryota; Viridiplantae; Streptophyta; Magnoliopsida; Poales; Poaceae.
UUUCGAGGAAACAGAAUAUCAAACGGAGUCCAAACGGAAUGAAACCUUCGGGAACGUGAUCUUCUCACCGAACGUGAUCCAGGAGACUUGGACCCUACUCCAAGAAGUUUCCGGGGAGGUCACGAGGGUGGAGGGCGCCCCCCCUGGGCGCGCCCCCUGCCUCGUGGGCCCCUCGGAGCUCCACCGACGUGCUUCUUCCGCCUAUAUAUCUCCAUAUACCCUAAAAACAUCAGAGAGCACAAUAGAUCAGGAGUUCCGCCGCCAGAAGCCUCCGUAGCCAUCAAAAGUCAACCGGGACCCUGUUCCGGCACCCUGCCGGAGGGGGGAACCCUCACCGGUGGCCAUCUUCAUCAUCCCGGCGCUCUCCAUGACGAGGAAGGAGUAGUUCUCCCUCGGGGCUGAGGGUAUGUACCAGUAGCUAUGUGUUUGAUCUCUCUCUCUCGUCUUCUUGAGAUGAUACGAUCUUGAUGUAUCGCGAGCUUUGCUAUUAUAGUUGGAUCUUAUGUUUCUCCUCCCCCUCUUCUCUCUUGUAAUGAAUUGAGUUUUCCCGUUGAAGUAAUCUUAUCGGAUUGAGUCUUUAAAGACUUGAGAACACUUGAUGUAUGUCUUGCCAUGGAUAUAUGUGGUGACAAUGGGAUACCACAUGCCACUUGAUGUAUGUUUUGGUGACCAACUUGCGGGUUUCGUGACAUUGGGAACCUAUGCAUAGGGGUUUUGGCACACGUUUUCGUCGUGAUUCUCCGGUAGAACUUUGGGGCACUCUUUGAGGUCCUUUGUGUUGGAUGAAUAGAUGAAUCUGAGAUUGUGUGACGCAUACCGUAUAAUCAUACCCACGGAUACUUGAGGUGACAUUGGAGUAUCUAGGUGACAUUAGGGUUUUGAUUGAUUUGUGUCUUAAGGUGUUAUUCUAGUACGAACUCUAGGGCUGUUUGUGACACCUAUAGGAAUAGCCCAAUGGAUUGAUUGGAAAGAAUAACUUUGAGGUGGUUUCGUACCCUACCAUAAUCUCUUCGUUCGUUCUCCGCUAUUAGUGACUUUCGAGUGUCUCUUUGUUGCAUGCUGAGGGAUAGUUAUGUGAUCCAAUUAUGUUAGUAUUGUUGAGGGAACUUACACUAGCGAAAGUAUGAACCCUGGGCCUUGUUUACCAUCAUUGCAAUACCGUUUACGCUCACUUUUAUCACUUGCUACCUUGCUGUUUUUAUUAUUUCAGAUUACAAAAACUAUUAUCUACCAUCCAUAUACCACUUGUAUCACCAUCUCUUCGCCGAACUAGUGCACCUAUACAAUUUACCAUUGUAUUGGGUGUGUUGGGGACACAAGAGACUCUUUGUUAUUUGGUUGCAGGGUUGCUUGAGAGAGACCAUCUUCAUCCUACGCCUCCUACGGAUUGAUAAACCUUAGGUCAUCCACUUGAGGGAAAUUUGCUACUAUCCUACAAACCUCUGCACUUGGAGGCCCAACAACGUCUACAAGAAGAAGGUUGUGUAGUAGACAUCAAGCUCUUUUCUGGUGCCGUUGCCGGGGAGGCUAGGUAAGUGAAGGUAUAUCUUUAGAUCUUGCAAUCGAAUCUUUUUGUUUCUUGUUUUAGCACUAGUCUAGUUUAUAAAAGAAAACUACCAAAAAAUGGAAUUGAGUUUGUCUCAUACGCUUCACCUUUUUAAUAUCUUUCAUGAGUAUGAUGGAAAGGAUAAUUGUGCUCAAGUGCUAGAAGAAGAAAUCUCUAAAUUGUUUGGCACUAAAUAUGUGAAUGAUGAGCAUGAUUGCAAUGUUGUUAGUAUGAAUUCCUUGAAUAGCCAUGAUGCUAAUGAUAUGCAAAGCCACAAGCUUGGGGAAGCUAUGUUUGAUGAAGAUGAUAUUUUUUGUCCCCCAAGUUUUGAUGAGCAAAUUUAUUAUGAUGAAAUCAUGCCUCCUAUUUAUGAUAAUUAUAUUGAUGAAAGUGGAAUUGGAGAGGUCAUGACUUUAUUUUGUGAUGAAUCCACUAUUCUGGAAGAGGUUCCAAUUGAUUGUGAGAACAAAGUUGCUAUCUAUGAUGAUUAUUGUGAUGACUUGUAUGCUAUAAAGAAUAAUUAUAUCCAUGAAACCUGUCGUCAUGAUUUUAGUUUUCAAUUGAAUUAUGCCUCACAUGAUAAUUAUUUUGUUGAGUUUGCCCCCACAAUUAUUCAUGAGAAGAAUUUUGCUUAUGUGGAGAGUAAUAAAAUUUCUAUGCUUGUAGAUCAUGAAAAGAAUGCUUUAGGUGCUGGUUAUAUUGUUGAAUUCAUUCAUGAUGCUACUGAAAAUUAUUAUGAGGGAGGAAUAUAUGCUUUUAGGAAUUGCAAUAAUAUCAAGUUUCCUCUCUAUGUGCUUAAAAUUUUGAAGCUAUGCUUGUUUUACCUUCCUAUGCAAGUUGAUUCUUGUUCCCACAAGUUGUUUGCUCACAAAAUCCCUAUGCAUAGGAAGUAUGUUAGACUUAAAUUUGCUAGUCAUAUUCUUCAUGAUGCUCUCUUUAUGUUUCAAUUAUUAUCUUUUAUGUGAGCAUCAUUGAAAUCAUCAUGCCUAGCUAGGGGCGUUAAACGAUAGCGCUUGUUGGGAGGCAACCUAAUUUUAUUUUUGUUCCUUGCUUUUUAUUCCGCUUUAGUAAUAAAUAAUUCAUCUAGCCUCUAUUUAGAUGUGGUUUUAUGUGUUUAAUUAGUGUUUGUGCCAAGUAGAACCUUUGGGAAGACUUGGGGAAAGUCUUGUUGACCAUGCUGUCAAAAACAGAAACUUUAGCGCUCACGAGAAUUGAUGCCAUUUUUAUUUGGAGAGUGCUAUUUAGUUAAUUAUUUUUUCAGAUGAUUAAUAGAUAAAUUACUCAGGUCCAGCAAUUUAUUUUAGAAUUUUUGGGGUUCCAUAAGUAUACGUUUGAUCCAGAUUACUACAGGCUGUUCUGUUUUUGACAGAUUCUGUUUUUCGUGUGUUGUUUGCUUAUUUUGAUGAAUCUAUGGCUAGUAAAAGAGUUUAUAAACCAUAGAGAAGUUGGAAUACAGUAGGUUUAACACUAAUAUAAAUAAAGAAUGAGUUCAUUACAGUACCUUGAAGUAGUGUUUUGUUUUCUUUCGCUAACGGAGCUUACGAGUUUUCUGUUAAGUUUUGUGUUGUGAAGUUUUCAAGUUUUGGGUAAAGAUUCGAUGGACUAUGGUACAAGGAGUGGUAAGAGCCUAAGCUUGGGGAUGCCCAAGGCACCCCAAGGUAAUAUUAAAGGACAAACAAGAGCCUAAGCUUGGGGAUUCCCCGGAAGGCAUCCCCUCUCUCGUCCACUUCCAUCGGUAAUUUACUUGGAGCUAUAUUUUUAUUCACCACAUGAUAUGUGUUUUGCUUGGAGCGUCUUGUAUUAUUUGUGUCUUUGCUUGUUAGUCUAACACAAUCAUCCUUGCUGUACACACCUUUUGAGAGAGCCUUGUAUAAAUUGAAAUUUUUUAGAAUACUCUAGUUGCUUCACUUAUAUCUUUUGAGCUUGAUAGUUUACUCUAUGUGCUUCACUUAUAUCUUUUUGAGCGUGAUAAUUUUUGCUCUAGUGCUUCACUUAGACCUUUUAGAGCACGGUGGUGGUUUGUUUUAAAUAAACUUGAUCUCUCAUGCUUCACUUAGAUUAUUUUGAGAGUCUUAAAUAGCAUGGUAAUUUGCUUAAUGUUAAUAUACUUGGUAUUCAAGAUAUGUGAAACUUUCUUUUUAGUGGGUUGAAUACUAAGAUAAGUUUGAUGCUUGAUAAUUGUUUUGAGAUAUGGAGGUGAUGAUAUCAUAGUCGUGCUAGUUUAGUAGUUGUGAAUUUGAGAAAUACUUGUGUUGAAGUUAGCAAGUCCCAUAGCAUGCACGUAUGGUUAAAGUUGUGUAACAAAUUUGAAGCAUGAAGUGUACCUGGCUUGUGCAUCCUUAUGAGUGGCGGUCGGGGACGAGCGAUGGUCUUUUCCUACCAAUCUAUCCCCCUAGGAGCAUGCGCGUAGUACUUGAUUUUUGAUGACUUCUAAAUUUUUGCAAUAAGUAUAUGAGUUCUUUUGACUAAUGUUGAGUCCAUGGAUUAUACGCACUUUUACCUUUCCGCCAUUUGCUAGCCUCUUCGGUACCGUGCAUUGCCCUUUCUCACAUUGAGAGUUGGUGCAAACUUCACCGGUGCAUCCACACCCCGUGAUAUGAUACGCUCUUUCACACAUAAACCUCCCUAUAUCUUCCUCAAAACAGCCACCAUACCUACCUAUCAUGGCAUUUCCAUAGCCAUUCCGAGAUAUAUUGCCAUGCAACUUCCAUCAUCAUCAUCAUGACAUGCUUUACUUUUGUCAUAUUGCCAUUGCAUGAUCUUGUAGUUGACAUCGUAUUUGUGGCAAAGCCACCAUGCAUUAUUUUUCAUACAUGUCACUCUUGAUUCAUUGCACCAUCCCGGUACACCGCCGGAGGCAUUCAUAUAGAGUCAUAUCUUGUUCUAGUAUCGAGUUGUAAUCAUUAUGUUGUAAUCAAUAGAAGUGUGAUGAUCAUCAUUAUUAGAGCAUUGCCCAAUCAAAAAAAGAGAGAGAAAGGCCAAAAAGAAAAAAAGAAAGGCCCAAAAAAAGAGAGAAAAUAAAAAGGGCAAUGCUACUAUCUCUUUUUCCGCACUUGUGCUUCAAAGUAGCACCUUGUUCUUCAUGUAGUGAGUCUCAUAUAUUGUGCUUAAAAGUAGCACGAUGAUUUCAUAUAGUGAGUCUCAUAAGUUGUCUUGUUCAUACUAGUGUGAAUUUUUCAUUAUAGAACUUGGCUUGUAUAUUCCAACGAUGGGCUUCCUCAAAAUGCCCUAGGUCUUCAUGAGCAAGCAAGUUAGAUGCACACCCACUAGUUUUCUUUUGUUGAGCAUUCUUAGCUCUAGUGCAUCCGUUGCAUGGCAAUCCCUACUCCUUGCAUUAACAUCAAUUGAUGGGCAUCUCCAUAGCUCAUUGAUUAGCCUCGUUGAUGUGAGACUUUCUUCUUUUUUGUCUUCUCCACACAAUCCCCAUCAUCAUAUUCUAUACCACCCAUAGUGCUAUGUCCAUGGCUCGCGCUCAUGUAUUGCGUGAAGGUUGAAAAAGUUUGAGAUUAUUUGAGUAUGAAACAAUUGCUUGGCUUGUCAUCGGGGGUAUAGAAGUUGGGAACAUCUUUGUGUGACGAAAAUGAAGCAUAGCCUAACUAUAUGAUUUUGUAGGGAUGAACUUCCUUUGGCCAUGUUAUUUUGAGAUGACAUAAUUGUUUGAUUAGUAUGCUUGAAGUAUUAUCAUUUUUAUGUCAAUAUGAACUUUUGUCUUGAACCUUUCAGAUCUGAAUAUUCAUACCAUGAUUAAGAAGAUUUACAUUGAAAUUAUGCCAAAGUAUCACUCCGCAUCAAAAAUUCUCUUUUUAUCAUUUACCUACUCGAGGACGAGCAGGAAUUAAGCUUGGGGAUGCUUGAUACGUCUCCAACGUAUCUAUAAUUUUUGAUUGCUCCAUGCUACUUUAUCUACUGUUUUGGACUAUAUUGGGCUUUAUUUUCCACUUUUAUAUUAUUUUUGGGACUAACCUAUUAACCGGAGGCCCAGCCCAGAAUUGCUAUUUUUUGCCUAUUUCAGUAUUUCGAGGAAACAGAAUAUCAAACGGAGUCCAAACGGAAUGAAACCUUCGGGAACGUGAUCUUCUCACCGAACGUGAUCCAGGAGACUUGGACCCUACUCCAAGAAGUUUCCGGGGAGGUCACGAGGGUGGAGGGCGCCCCCUGGGCGCGCCCCCUGCCUCGUGGGCCCCUCGGAGCUCCACCGACGUGCUUCUUCCGCCUAUAUAUCUCCAUAUACCCUAAAAACAUCAGAGAG